Molecule: long non-coding RNA, 1611 nt
Filed under: Ricinus communis (castor bean)
Lineage: Eukaryota; Viridiplantae; Streptophyta; Magnoliopsida; Malpighiales; Euphorbiaceae
Description: long non-coding RNA (RCOM_LNC003020)
Source: RNAcentral
AUGCAUCUGACGGUGAAAGUGGUAAUAAAUGCUUGCAUACAUGAGAUACCUCUGCGUCUCUGUCUUGAAGAUGACAAUUGUCUGUUAUACCCGUCCUGUGCUGAGAAUAUAUUUUUCUUGUCCUGUCCGUUAUUUUUAUUGUGCUACCUGUGAAUUUUCUGGUACAUAUAUUUAAUGAAUGUAACUGGAAUCUGAGCCAGGUCAUUACUGUUACCCCUAAUACAGUAUUCAGGUAUUUUGAAGAAACAAGUUUAAGCCUUUAGGUUUACAGAUAGUAGACCUAAUAAGAAGGGGUAACUUCUGGAUCAUAGAGAAUAUUUCAAUGGAUUAUUAAAUUUUCACCUGCAUAUCCAGUGGGCAUUAUUUUGUUCGGAUGAUUUGAUUCUCUUAAAAUUUCUUAUUGUUCCUCUGUUUAUUGCAUCAAAUCAGGCGAACGCCAGUUCUUGCACAGGGAAGCGAUGGAUGUGGAAUAGAGCUUGUGAAGAAGAGUUCAGCAGAGAAGUUAAGUGAUGGUUGAAGGAAGGUCCUGUGGAUGUCAAUAGUGUUAACUGAAUGUCAUGAAAUUGCAUCAACCAAGCAAUCUUGUGACAUUAUUUUUUCUCCUGUAUUCUUUCCGGCUGGAUUUGUACCUCUCCAUUCUCUUCAAUUUCCACUCUGUAACAUACACACGGCCUAACAUUUUAUCCACGCAGCCACUUAAUUUUGGCCUUUUUAGGUAGUCAGAAACUUUUGUAGACGGGGAUAUUCUUAAUCAGCAAAUUGUUUCAUUUACAAGUUUGGACCAUACUGUACAAUUAUGCAUGACAGCAGACGUCGUGUUAAUAGUUUAAAGAUAUCUGAUGUUAAUGACACAAUUCUGCCCUUUCUGAGGCUAUAGGUUUCCUGUUCUCAAAUCUCAACUAAAAAAGCAAGCUUAAUUGCAUCAAAUCCUGCAAUUCAGAACAUAGAAUGAAACAGUCUUUGUUAAUAAAUGUCCACCUAAAGUUAAUAAAAACAUGGAGCAUAUCUCAGUGGCAGUGGCAUUAAUCUUUCCACUUACAUUCUGAGCACUGCUGAUGCAAAAAGUUGCACCAAGUUUGGUUGAUUCCUUAGAAAUUGUUAAAGAGAUUUGUUCACUACUACACUAAACUCAGCUAGUUUGUGUAAUUGCUGAGGUUGCAGGCUAAGAUCAGAUGUUAGGCUUUUCUAAGGUGAUAGAUGUAUUCAGUGACAAACAUAUGCUUGCUAAGCAGGCUGCUCAUCCUUCAAUGAUGCAGCGAAAUCUGCAAAUAGGUCAGCUAUCCUAGCAUCAUAAGCAGGUCCCUCCAUUUCAAAGUGGCUAACUCCAAGAAUUAGAUGUGCCUGAACACGUCCAACAGCAGACGUUAGCUUCUUCUCUAACUGUUCUACGCUCGUGAACUCAUCGUUGGUGCCCAUAAUGAAAAGUUUUGGUUUGCGAGACCGUAAAAUCGCCCUGUGGUGCCUCCCAAAAAGAAAAGAGGCAGCCAAUCCAAAAGGGUAACCAAUACUCGCAUAUCCAAUGACUUCCUCUACCUUGUCAACAGCAGAACCAGAGAUUGGAGCUCCUGCAGCCAGCCAACCAAGGAACACACAUAAAAAUUUCUUGGUCAU